AAAGACCAACUGCUACAGAGGUUAAAAGCCUUUCUCUUGCAGCAAAGAGCUACCCUGCAGACCUUCAAUUCCACGUGUUGUCCAAUCCAAACACGUUACAGGAGAAUCAGUUGAAACUCAAGCCACAGGAAAGCAAAGACAGGCCAAAAGAUUGCAGCAAGCCAGUGGUUCAGCUCAGGACUGUGGCACAGGAGAGAGGCAUUUCCUCUGUCUUCCAUUGACUCGGAUAUGCUGGGAGAAGCUCUUAUGAGAAAAUAAGUAUUUGCUAUUGCAGGAUGUAACAGUUUCCUACCAGAUGAACUCACCUGAAAGACUGCAGGGUUUGAGUAAAAAACUAUUAAAAGCUCUGCAAAGCAGAGUAAGAAAAGGAGUUAUCUCAGUGAGUGCCCUGAGGCAAACAACUGCUGCCUUGGUGAAAGAAACCCACACUACCAUAGUAAGAGCUUCCCUCUUGAAUCAAAAUACAUCUUGUAAAAGCAUCUCACACCUGGACAAACCUAUUAAACAAUUAUUAAAUAAGAAGUAGAGUAUUUAAAAUGGAUGUCACUAGAAUAUAGCAAAAUAGUGAGGACAAAUCAUGAAAUAAUAAUCUACGUUAAUAAGGCUGAAGAUUCUCUAUGAAGAAAUCAUGUGUAUAAUUUACAAGGAAUAGAAAACUAGAGCUAUUAUUUCUCUAAUGCUGCAUGCAAAAAAUACACAUAAAUGUAUGUUCAAAUUCACACAUAGACACAUACAUGAUCCUGAACUCUUUCAUCCUCCAGGGCAUUUUAAUUUUACCUGCACACUUUAGUUAUUCUUUUUGAAAGGUAAAGACAAAAUGGUUGCUUCCUAUUCAAUUAUCCUUUCUCAGCCUCUAUUUGACACAGGUCCUUCUAUUGCAUGGUGGCUAUGAAAAACAGUCCAUGAAAAUAUUACCAUUUAUAUAGCUACUUGCAUUAUAACACCUUUCAAUAAUUACCUACAAUUUUCA
Molecule: long non-coding RNA, 970 nt
Organism: Empidonax traillii (willow flycatcher)
Lineage: Eukaryota; Metazoa; Chordata; Aves; Passeriformes; Tyrannidae
Exons: 4
Source: RefSeq, a predicted model, not a curated record